GUGGGGAAUAUUGCACAAUGGGGGAAACCCUGAUGCAGCGACGCCGCGUGAGCGAAGAAGUAUUUCGGUAUGUAAAGCUCUAUCAGCAGGGAAGAAGAAUGACGGUACCUGACUAAGAAGCACCGGCUAAAUACGUGCCAGCAGCCGCGGUAAUACGUAUGGUGCAAGCGUUAUCCGGAUUUACUGGGUGUAAAGGGAGCGCAGGCGGUUCGGCAAGUCUGAUGUGAAAGCCCGGGGCUCAACCCCGGUACUGCAUUGGAAACUGUCGUACUAGAGUGUCGGAGGGGUAAGUGGAAUUCCUAGUGUAGCGGUGAAAUGCGUAGAUAUUAGGAGGAACACCAGUGGCGAAGGCGGCUUACUGGACGAUAACUGACGCUGAGGCUCGAAAGCGUGGGGAGCAAACAGGAUUAGAAACCCGGGUAGUCC
Molecule: ribosomal RNA, 426 nt
Filed under: uncultured bacterium
Lineage: Bacteria
Description: partial 16S ribosomal RNA
Rfam family: Bacterial small subunit ribosomal RNA
Source: RNAcentral